CAAGCGUAGCUGGUAUUGGACUUUCGCGGGCCCUCUUAUAGGGAGGGGCUCGCGGGUCCGAAAAGCAGUGGCGGUCCCCGAAGAUUUCGCGCGUAGUAAAUAUUAUCCCGCGUUGGAAAGAAUCGAUGGGUCCUGCCAAAACCCCCCCAUAAUCUCCAAAAAUUGACCUCGGAUCAGGUAGGGAUACCCGCUGAACUUAA
RNAcentral lists this unclassified non-coding RNA (200 nucleotides) under soil metagenome. Its description in RNAcentral is "partial contains internal transcribed spacer 2 and large subunit ribosomal RNA". The record is from RNAcentral.